AGUCACCCUGCAGUGACCCGGCCAGUACAGCCAUGCCGGGUCUCAGCUCUGCUCACCCGCGCAGCUCCCAGAAACUUCCCCGGCUUGUCUCCACUGGAAUCGGGAUGGAAGGGAGCCACGGCUGGCUCAGCCCCUCUCGGAGCAGAAAGAGGAAACUUCUGAAAAGAAGAUGGGGGCUGGGGGAGGACAUCAAUCAGCACGGACAACAUGUAUCCUAAAAUUGGAAUGACACAUGGAAGGCGGCACGGCCCCCAAGAGUGACAUGCAAAUUGGUGAAACAUUUCACAUUUUUGGAAUCCAGAAGAUGAUAGAGUGACAUCUUUAAACUGCUGAAAGAAAAAAGCCAAACAAACUGGCCAACCUUUUGGAGGAGAUAGUCUUCAGAAAUGAAGCAUAAACAAAAAUAUCUCCAAACAAAAGCUAAGAAAAUUCAUCACCAGCAGCUCCACCUCCAAGAAACCCCAGAGCAAGUUCUUUGGGCUGAAGGAAAGGGACCCCAGUGGAAGCAUCAAAAUGCAGGAAGGAAUGAAAAACACAGAAAAGGGGAAAUAUUGGGUGAAUAUACAAAAAUGUUAGCUACGUAAGGUAAAAAUAAACGAGUCAAUGCUAAAACGUCUAUCAGUGGUGCCAGGGCGGGAGAGGAACAAUGGAACCAGAACAUUUACCAAAAUAGACCAUAUGCUGGGCCCUAGAGCAAGUCUCAACAGAUUUCAAAGGGCUGAAAUCACAUAAGAGUGUGUUCUCUGACCACAGUGCAAUUAAACAAGAAAUUAAUAACAGAAAGAUAAUUGGAGAAUCCCCAAGUGUUUGGAAAUUAAGCAACAUACUUCUCAAUAACCUCUGGGUCAGAGAAGAAAUCACAGUGGAAAUUAGGAAAUACUUUGAACUGAGUGAUGAUGAAAAUAAACAUUGAAACUUGUGGGAAGUGGCUAAAAAAAUGCUUAAGUGGAGACUUUUAGCUUAAAAUGCAUGUAUUAGGAAAUAAGAAGGAUGAAAAUCAAUGAUCUAAGUUUCUGUCUCCUAAAACUAAAAAAACAAAAACCCCAAAACCGAGUAAAUUAAGCCUAAAGAAAGUGAAAGGUAACAAAGACUUGGAACCAACCCUAAUGUUCAUCAAUGAUAGACUGGAUUAAGAAAAUGUGGCACAUAUACACCAUGGAAUACUAUGCAGCCAUAAAAAAGGAUGAGUUCAUGUCCUUUGCAGGGACAUGGAUGAAGCUGGAAACCAUCAUUCUCAGCAAACUAUCACAAGGACUGAAAACCAAACACUGCAUGUUCUCACUCAUAGGUGGGAAUUGAACAAUGAGAUCACUUGGACACAGGGCGGGGAGCAUCAAACACCGGGGCCUGUCAGGGGGUGGGGGGCUGGUGGGGGAGAGCAUUAGGAGAAAUACCUAAUGUAAAUGAUGAGUUGAUGGUUGCAGCAAACCAACAUGGCACAUGUAUACCUAUGUAUCGAACCUGCACAUUGUGCACAUGUACCCUAGAACUUAGAGUAUAAUAAAAAAAGAAAGAAAGAAAGUGAAAGGAAGAAUGUAAUCAAGACAGGAGUAGAAAUUAAUGAAUUAAUUGGGAGCAAUAGAGAAAAUAAAACCCAGGUAGGUGUUUGAAAAGAUUAAUAAAAGAUUAGUAAAAUGGACAGGCUCAGGUGCAGUGGCUCAUGCCUGUAAUCCCAACACUCUGGGAGGCCAAGGUAGGAGGAUCACUUGACCCAAGGAGUUUGACAUCAGCCUGGGCAACAUAAUGAGACUCCAACUCUACAAAAAUUUUAAAAAAAAUAGCUGGGCAUGGUGGUGGAUGCCUGUAUUCCCAGCAACUUGGGAGGCUUAGAUGGGAGGAUAACUUGAGCCCAGGAGGUUGAGGCUGCAGUGAGCAGUGAUCACACUGUUAUGGGACCUUUGGGGUGUUAAUUUUCUGGCCGGAAACCUCUGUGGUCAUGGCACCUUUGCCUGAGCUCUUGUCCUGCAUCCAGAAAGAAUGAGGUACACAGACAAAUGAAGGAUGAAUAAGAUAAAGAUGAGCUUUACUGAGUGUUAUAACAGCUCAGGCCCACAGUGGGUAGCUCCUCUCUGUAGGCAGGUCAUUGAGUGUUCCAUUCGCAGCAGAGAGGAGGCCCUGGAGAGGGUACUCCUCUCUGUAACUGGUCAUCCUGAUGUCUGCAGCUCUCAGCAGAGAGGAGGCCCUGGAAAGGCUGGCUCCUCUCUGCCAGCAGGCCAUCUCUGUAGCUCUCAGCAGAGAGGGUAGUUCCUCUCUGGAGCUGGUUGUUCCAUCAUCUCCAAAGGGUAGCUCUUCUCUGCAGCUGGCCAACGUGUUGUCUCUCUGCCCUCUUCGUCCUCUGACCAUCCUCUACCCUGUUCUGGCAGAGCCCAGGGCUUUUAUGGACUUCAGAGGGGAGGAAGUUCAUGCCGACUGGUCAAUGGAUGGCCAUGGAUGGGCCCAGAAGAGGCACCCAAGUCCCCAUUCUGGUCUGUGGGACUGACAGCCUGGCCUCCAGCCUUCGGGCUCUCCUCAGCCUGAGGGUGGGGCCUUACUGGGGACCCACCUGCUUCUACCCACUAAUCUGUCUGCCUCCCACUGCCAUUCAUAGUCCCAAGGCUUGGCCCCAACCCCAUUCCAAGAUCAGAGCGGGUACUGGAGCAGAGAGAGGCCAGACAGUGAGAGCAGACAUUCUGGAGCCAGCAGGGAUGGGGUGAGGGCCUCUCCUGGGCCCUCGAGGGUGUAGGCUGCAGAGACAUCCAGGUCCUGCACCUGGGAGGGUGGCUGCAGAAGCACCUGGGGAGCUCCCGUCCCAACUCAGAAGGGGCAGGGCCUCCACUGGCUCCAUGGAGUGUGCAGCCCCAGCCGUGCCCCCUGCUAUAGCUGGCAUGGUGGCAGCAGCCGCUAUCGACACCACUGCACGGCAGCCUGGGUGACAGAGCAAGACUUUUGUCUCAAAAAUAAAAUACAAUAAAAUAGACAAUUCCAUCAAUAAUGACCAAGAGGGAAAAAAAUAGGAAAAACUCACGUUUUUAAAAUUCUAAUAUCAGAUAUAAAACGAGGCCCUCACUGUGGUAGAGGCUAAUGAUAUUGUAAAUGUAACAAGAGGAUAUUACAAACAAUUUUGUGCCAAUAAAAGUGAAAACCUAGAUGAAAUGGACACAUUCUUUAAAAACUACAAUUUAGCGGCUGGGCAUGAUGGCUCAAGCCUGUAAUCCCAGCACUUUGAGAGGUCGAGACGGGCGGAUCACCUGAAGUCGGGAGUUAGAGACCAGCCUGACCAACAUGGAGAAACCCCGUCUCGACUAAAAAUACAAAAUUAGCCAGGUGUGAUGGCGCAUGCCUGUAAUCCCAGCUACCCAGGAAGCUGAGGCAAGAGAAUCGUUUGAAACCGGGAGGUGGAGGUUGGAGGUUGUUGUGAGCCAAGAUCGUGCCAUUGCACUCCAGCCUGGGCGACAAGAGCAAAGUUCCGUCUCAAAACAAACAAACAAACAAAAAACCCCUACAAUUUAGCAAAACUGAUACAAGAUUAAGUAGAAAAUCCAAAGAAUCAUCUACUGUUAAAAACAAUUAAAUCUGUAAUUUAAACCCUUCUCACAAAGAAAACUCCAGACUCAGGUGGUUUCACUGGUAAUUUUCCAAACAUUUAAGAAAUAAUACUUAUCUUAUGCAAACUCAGAAACAGAACACAGGAAAUAAAAAAGGAACAUCCCCCCCCAACUCAUUUUAUGAGGCCAGAAAAAUUCUGAUAUUACAGCUAGGCACAAAUCUUACAUAAGAGAUAUUUACAGACUGAUAUGGUUUGGCUGUGUCCCCAUCCAAAUCUCAUCUCAAAUUGUAAUCCAAAUUGUAAUCUCCAUGUGUCAAGGAAGGGACCUGGUGGGAGGUGAUUGGAUAAUGAGGGGGUUUUCCCCCAUGCAGUUCUCGUGAUAGUAAGCGAGUUCUCAUGAGAUCUGGUUGUUUGAUGAGUGUCUGGCACUUCCCCCUUCGCUCUCUCUCCUGCCACCUUGUAAAGAAGGUACAUGCUUCUCCUUUGCCUUCUGCCAUGAUUUUAAGUUUCCUGAAGCCUCCUCAGCCAUGCUGAACUGUAAGUCAAUUAAACCUCUUUCCUUUAUAAAUUACCCAGUCUCAGGUAGUGUCUUUAUAGCAGUGUUAGAAUGGACUAAUACACAGACUUAUAUCUGUCAUGAAUAUAGAUGAAAAAUUCUAAGUAAAAUGUUAGUAAAUCAAAUCCAGAGAUAUAUUAAAAAGAUGAUACCUCAAGACCAAGUAGAACUUAUUCCAGAAAUACAAAGUGGAUUUAACAUUUGAAAAAAAAUCAAUCAAUGUAAUUUUCCAUAAUAACAGAAUAAAGGAGAAAUAUCACACAAUCAUGCCCUUUGAUGCAGAAAAACAUUUGAUAAAAUUCAACACUUAUUCAUGAUAAAAACUCUCCAACAAUUAAGAAUACAUUUUUAAAGGAACUUCUUUAAUCUGAUAAGGACUAUAUAUUUUUUAAAACCCUACUGUUAACAUAAAUGCAACUAUUGAGCACUUUCUUCUUGUCAGCCAUGAUCACCACUUUGGCUCAACCUGGUACUGGAGGUCCUGCCCCGUGCAAUAAGGCAAGAAAAAGAAAAAGGCAUGAAGAUUGGAAAGCACCAAAAACCACCCAGAAGACAGCUCAGUGGACCCUAGCAGUGGAUUCUACAUGUCUGCAGAAAAUGAGCAGAAAACAAGCCAGAGUUACAGCUAUCUGCAGAGAGACUACAUCCAGGAGGUCUGAAGACUGAAAGUAAUCACUGCAGUCUGACUUCUACCACUGACACCCUUCCCAUACAUAAUUUAAAUGUGUAAUUAUAAUACCAUUGCUUAGUUAACGGACACCAAUUCGUGCAGGAGCUGCCACAAACAGUAAUAAACCAGCUGUGUUAGAAAUGGAUCACUUAUCAGUGCGUGCCCAAGCCUCCUAAUGCCUCAUGAUGUUUAAUAAUUAAAUUGUGACACCUUGAACCCGCAGCUGACACCAUGAAUCACAGUGGAAUUCUCCAAAUGGAAUGCAGCCACACCUCAGCUUCUGUGCUGCGUGCUGCCACUGAGGACAUUCGAUACCAUUGAAGCCGUCAGAUAGAGGCCGUAUUUCAAAAGGUCUACGGUGGCUCCGUUUCUUCUCUGAGACUUCAAAAGUCCUUCAAGAGUGAGUUCCCGUCUCAUUCUAUGUCCAGGAUGAAGACGGAUGGCCUCUUGGCACCCAUCUCUUUGGCAUGAACGAUGUGGGGAAACGUGAAUGGAAAUGGGGAACUGUUGCUGGCACCCAGAAGUCAUCCGGUCCGGAUGAAGCCAAGUCACAAGGAAGUGCCUCCAAUUAUUCUUCAUAAAUUCCUCUGAGGUUUCACUUCUUGUCCACACAAGACUUUAAUAAAAUGUGGCAUCUAACUGAAUAAAGACUAUCCUUUCGGGUGUGUGUGUCAUGACAGUACUAUUUAUGGAGGACCUCCUGUGUAGCAGUUCUUGCACUGUUUUACGUAAUCAUCCCCUUUCAUCCUAACAAUCACUCCUGUGAAGUAUGUGUCCUUAUUUUCAUUUCGUUGUAGAGAAAACCAAGGCUCUGAGACAUUAAGCAAUGUGCCCAAGGACACACAGCUAGUAAGUGGCUGGAUUUGAGCGCAAGCCUACAAGAAACUGUAAGUUUCUUAUUUGUAUUUAUUAAUUCAUCAUAUUGUCAUUUCUUCAAAAUGCAACUGAAUCUCAUAAAAUGUCAGUGGCAGAAUCUAGGUGGAAGGUGCCCUGGUAUUCACUGUAAAAUUCCUUCAACUCGGCUGUAUAUUUGAAAAUUUUCAUGUUACAAUAUUAGGAAAAAAACCCUUGAUUUCCAGGUGUUUUUUCACCUGGACAAACUUGAGAACUUUGGAAAAGCUGGCUUACCUCCUCGAAUUCUAGUUGGCUGGCUUGGCUGGGUUGGCUGGGUGGGCCCUGGCACCCUCCACUCAAUGCCCACCUGCAUGUUAAAACGGGUCCUGCUAGGACCCUGGGCAGCCCAGGCACUUCUGACACAUGCCACAGACUUCCUCUGUACAGUAGAAUAGAUGUCCCUUAGGAAUAAAAAAAAAAAACAGGCAGCUUUCUGGUCGAAUACCACUCUAUGACACCUUCUGGGACCUUCCCUCCAAGUUUCUUCUACCAGAUCAACAAGAAGGAUUCAACUUGGUGUCUCUGUGUGUUUUGCUGUCUCAUGCUGCUUAUAAACUGCUUUGCCUUUAGCAAUGUCCCUCAGUUAUCUUGUUCUAAGGCUACAAUUAAGAAGGAAUCACUGUUGUGGAGGAACUCAGAGGCACCUCCAGCUCCCAUUAGCUGGUCCCUUAAUGCCGCUGAUGCGAGGCUCUGACAGUAAUUACUUUGCAAGUAUAAUGAGAUACUUAUGGGUCCAUCAGGUGCCCAACCCAUAGCAUGAUAUGAAAUAUGAAGAGUUAAGCUGGUGGGUAAUUUACACAACUGUCUACCAAGUCUCUCCAGGAUGAUUAAGAAAAGGAAAUGCCGGAUUGAAAAGAUGCCAAGCUUCCAGAGCGCGUUCAUGUGGCUCGAUUGACAGUGGCAACCAUUAUCGUCAUCACCGUCAUCGCUGCUUUUAACGGUUAAUGAUAAUAAGCCGUCACACACGGAUGCAGCACUUUGCAAUGCACAAAGCCCUCUUGCACUCAUGCUCUCCAGCGCUCCUCACUGCCAUCUGGGAAUCUCCACUUUGCAGAUGUGGAAACUGAAGCUCGGACGAUGGCAGUGACUCGCCCUGCUAGCCCUGCCGAGAGAGGUCUGCCUUUGCCUCCCUGAUUCUGAAUCAGAUAGGGUCAGGACUCCCUCUAUUCCCCUGGGCUCCUCAACCUGGCGCCCUCACCGCUUACUUGCGGGCCCCUCCUGCCCUCUUCUGCUCCAGACGGCAGGCUCUCUGAGGCAGGACUCUGAUUGGACAGCUUGGAUCAUGUGCUCAUUCAAAAGCCAAUCAGCAGCAGGGGGCUUGGCUCUGUAUUCACUCUUCCCAUGUUAGCUGCCCUUUUUUUUUUUUUUUUUUUUUUUUUUUUUGAGACACAGUCUCAUUCCUCUGCCCCGGCUGGAGUGGAUCUCAGCUCAAUGCAACCUCCACCUCCUGGGUUCAUGUGAUUCUCCUGCCUCAGCAUCUCGAAUAGCUGGGAAUACAGGCACCCGCUACCAUGCCCAGCUAAUUUUUGUAUUUUUAAUAGAGACGAGGUUUCACCAUGUUGGCCAGGCUGGUCUGGAACGCCUGACCUCAAGUGAUCUACCUGCCUUGGCCUGCCAAAGUUCUGGGAUUACAGGUGUGAGGCACUGCACCUGGCCUGCCCUAACUCCCGUUAGGAAUAUGGGAAACUCUUUUCCCAAAGCAGCCUGCACCUCGGUCUUCCCACCCCACCCUACUGAAGAAGGCUCCCAGAAACCAGCUUUGCUGAGCCCAGAACGGCCUGGCUCUGGCAGAUUUGCCCCCAGGCUGCAAGUGGGCGGCAGCACUCCCCCUACAUGUCCCUUUCUAUUUCCUGCCCCUCCCCCUGAGUCUUCCUUUCAUUCUUGCAGCCAGCUCCCAGCCCUGCUUCCCUGCCAGGACCCCAAUUCCCUAACUCCCUGGCAUCAAGACCUGCAUGGAUGUCCCCUGCACUUGUUUUGUCCCCGGAUGUGGCUCCUUGGACUGUCCAGCCCCACACCUGGCCUCUUGUUUCCCACCAGCUACAGCGGCCAAGGCUCCAGCAGGCCUUGUACUUGGCUGGCCCAGGCUUGGCUUUGAUGGACCAGUGACCCAAAUAAGUGACCUUGGAAAGGUCUUCCUAAAGGUGGUGGAGACCAUGUUCUUGAGAGUUGGAGUGGUGUUGGCUUGAGUGUGGGGCUGAGAUCUCACCCAGUGCUAGGGUCCAGGCUGCGAAAUGAGGCAUAGGAUGAGAGAGGUUCUGAGCCACAAAUGGGGUCCAUACCUAAGAGGAUGGGAUCAACCUAGGGAAGGAUUUGGAGGAGAGGCGUGUGUGGAAACAGAGCCUGGAUGCUGAGUCCCUGGAGGCCGGAGUGGGCCCUGGGGCACAGGGAGCCCCUGGCCCCGCCACUGAUGCCAAUUGGGGUGUCAGUCCCCCAACAAAUUCAGUCUGUCCAUAUCUAUUGCUGACACAGGGUUUAGAGAGGGCUUAAAUUCAGAUAAAUGGAAUUUGAAUUCCCUCUUUGUCUCUCAAAUGUGUGAAUUUUGGCAGCCAAGUUCCUCUCUCUGAGCCCAGUUUGUCCAUCUCAAGAUUGUGUGUGAUCAUACCCACCACACUGGGCCACCAGGAGGAAUGAGCGAAGCACCUCAUGUCAAAUGCCUGGCCCAGGCCUGUGUCUGGCAGGGACUCAUGGCUGCGGAAGGGUCAUUAUUUGCCCCCAGGGAUUUCUAGAGAGGAUCAGGAUGCCACGAGGGAUGCUAUUGGAAGCAAGUCACACAGAAGCCAGAGCCCUGGGCUUUCCUAGCAGCACUGGACAUGGGGCAGGGAACAAACCCGAGCCACACUUCUCAGAGGGUGGGCAUGGCAUUGAAAACGACGUGUGUAGGAAGCUUUUCCAAUACACAAGCUGGGCCCCGCCCCAGAACCUUGAGGGGCAGGAGGAGCACUGAGACAACCUUGGGUGGGGUGAGGCAGGGGGACGGCGGGGGGAGAUUUCCAGUCCCUUAGCUGGCGGAAGACUCCUGAGCUGGCAGAGAGCCCUCUUCUUGAAAGACUCUCAUGCACAGGCCAUCAGGAGGAUCACAAAGUUGUUUAUUUUCCCACCUAUAAGAAAAGAUGGAUGAUGCAGAGUGCCGAGAAAUCCC
RNAcentral lists this long non-coding RNA (8785 nucleotides) under Homo sapiens (human). Its description in RNAcentral is "non-protein coding LINC01589:9". Lineage: Eukaryota; Metazoa; Chordata; Mammalia; Primates; Hominidae. The record is from RNAcentral.